This 253-nucleotide ribosomal RNA is filed under the name uncultured bacterium. RNAcentral's name for it is "partial 16S ribosomal RNA". It matches the Rfam family "Bacterial small subunit ribosomal RNA", at positions 524 to 776 of the family's 1533-position model. The record is from RNAcentral.
UACGUAGGGUGCGAGCGUUGUCCGGAAUUAUUGGGCGUAAAGAGCUUGUAGGCGGUUUGUCGCGUCUGCUGUGAAAAUCCGGGGCUCAACCUCGGACUUGCAGUGGGUACGGGCAGACUAGAGUGUGGUAGGGGAGACUGGAAUUCCUGGUGUAGCGGUGAAAUGCGCAGAUAUCAGGAGGAACACCGAUGGCGAAGGCAGGUCUCUGGGCCACUACUGACGCUGAGAAGCGAAAGCAUGGGGAGCGAACAGG